UACGGGAGGCAGCAGUGGGGAAUAUUGCACAAUGGGCGCAAGCCUGAUGCAGCCAUGCCGCGUGUAUGAAGAAGGCCUUCGGGUUGUAAAGUACUUUCAGUCGUGAGGAAGGUGUUAAGGUUAAUAACCUUAGCAAUUGACGUUAGCGACAGAAGAAGCACCGGCUAACUCCGUGCCAGCAGCCGCGGUAAUACGGAGGGUGCGAGCGUUAAUCGGAAUUACUGGGCGUAAAGGGCACGCAGGCGGUUAAUUAAGUUGGAUGUGAAAUCCCCGGGCUUAACCUGGGAAUGGCAUUCAAGACUGGUUAGCUAGAGUCUUGUAGAGGGGGUAGAAUUCCAUGUGUAGCGGUGAAAUGCGUAGAGAUGUGGAGGAAAUACCGGUGGCGAAAGGCGGCCCCUGGACAAAAGACUGACGCUCAUGUGCGAAAGCGUGGGGAGCAAAACAGGGAUUAAGA
RNAcentral lists this ribosomal RNA (454 nucleotides) under uncultured bacterium. RNAcentral describes it as "bacterial SSU rRNA". It matches the Rfam family "Bacterial small subunit ribosomal RNA", at positions 340 to 784 of the family's 1533-position model. The record is from RNAcentral.